This is a non-coding RNA of Pelobates cultripes (western spadefoot toad), 223 nucleotides long. NCBI's taxonomy places the organism in Eukaryota, Metazoa, Chordata, Amphibia, Anura, Pelobatidae. The record is from the annotation of a GenBank genome assembly.
CUACGACAUAAAAAAGUUAUAUAAAAACAAUGUAAAACUUUUAGGUGAAGAACUUGAAAAAAAGUUUACACAUUAACAGUGACAUGAAAUCUGAAUUAACAAAAUUGAGGCAAAAAUAACUGAUUUUGUAACCUGGAUUAAGACAAAAUUUAGCAAUUCAGAUUUCAAUUCACUGCACAUUGGAAUAUAGUGUUUUUUCCUAAUAAAUCAAUCUCCAAACUGC